This 440-nucleotide ribosomal RNA is filed under the name uncultured bacterium. Its description in RNAcentral is "partial 16S ribosomal RNA". It matches the Rfam family "Bacterial small subunit ribosomal RNA", at positions 338 to 795 of the family's 1533-position model. The record is from RNAcentral.
CCUACGGGCGGCAGCAGUGAGGAAUAUUGGUCAAUGGCCGGAAGGCUGAUGCAGCGACGCCGCGUGAGUGAAGAAGUAUUUCGGUAUGUAAAGCUCUAUCAGCAGGGAAGAAAAUGACGGUACCUGACUAAGAAGCCCCGGCUAACUACGUGCCAGCAGCCGCGGUAAUACGUAGGGGGCAAGCGUUAUCCGGAUUUACUGGGUGUAAAGGGAGCGUCGGCGGCAGGACAAGUCUGAAGUGAAAUCCCGCGGCCCAACUGCGGGACUGCUUUGGAAACUGCCCGGCUAGAGUGCUGGAGAGGUAAGCGGAAUUCCUAGUGUAGCGGUGAAAUGCGUAGAUAUUAGGAGGAACACCAGUGGCGAAGGCGGCUUACUGGACAGUAACUGACGUUGAGGCUCGAAAGCGUGGGGAGCAAACAGGAUUAGAUACCCGAGUAGUC